RNAcentral lists this ribosomal RNA (253 nucleotides) under uncultured bacterium. Its description in RNAcentral is "partial 16S ribosomal RNA". It matches the Rfam family "Bacterial small subunit ribosomal RNA", at positions 524 to 776 of the family's 1533-position model. The record is from RNAcentral.
UACGUAGGGGGCAAGCGUUGUCCGGAUUUAUUGGGCGUAAAGAGCGUGUAGGCGGUCUGUCGCGUCUGCUGUGAAAAUCCGGGGCUCAACCCCGGACUUGCAGUGGGUACGGGCAGACUAGAGUGUGGUAGGGGAGACUGGAAUUCCUGGUGUAGCGGUGAAAUGCGCAGAUAUCAGGAGGAACACCGAUGGCGAAGGCAGGUCUCUGGGCCACUACUGACGCUGAGAAGCGAAAGCAUGGGGAGCGAACAGG